UACGUAGGGUGCAAGCGUUGUCCGGAAUUAUUGGGCGUAAAGAGCUCGUAGGCGGUGUGUCGCGUCGGCCGUGAAAACCUGCAGCUUAACUGUGGGCUUGCGGUCGAUACGGGCAUCACUGGAGUUCGGCAGGGGAGGCUGGAAUUCCUGGUGUAGCGGUGAAAUGCGCAGAUAUCAGGAGGAACACCGGUGGCGAAGGCGGGUCUCUGGGCCGAUACUGACGCUGAGGAGCGAAAGCGUGGGGAGCGAACAGG
This 254-nucleotide ribosomal RNA is filed under the name uncultured bacterium. RNAcentral's name for it is "partial 16S ribosomal RNA". It matches the Rfam family "Bacterial small subunit ribosomal RNA", at positions 524 to 776 of the family's 1533-position model. The record is from RNAcentral.